UACAGGGGGUGCAAACGUUGCUCGGAAUUACUGGGCGUAAAGCGCGUGUAGGCGGUUCGUUAAGUCGUCUGUGAAAGCCCAUGGCUCAACCAUGGAAGUGCAGCCGAUACUGGCAAACUUGAGUCCUGGAGAGGGUGGCGGAAUUCCCAGUGUAGAGGUGAAAUUCGUAGAUAUUGGGAGGAACACCGGUGGCGAAGGCGGCCACCUGGACAGGUACUGACGCUGAGACGCGAAAGCGCGGGUAGCAAACAGG
Molecule: ribosomal RNA, 253 nt
Filed under: uncultured bacterium
Lineage: Bacteria
Description: partial 16S ribosomal RNA
Rfam family: Bacterial small subunit ribosomal RNA
Source: RNAcentral